This 497-nucleotide ribosomal RNA is filed under the name uncultured bacterium. RNAcentral describes it as "partial 16S ribosomal RNA". It matches the Rfam family "Bacterial small subunit ribosomal RNA", at positions 28 to 507 of the family's 1533-position model. The record is from RNAcentral.
GAUGAACGCUGGCGGCAUGCCUAACACAUGCAAGUCGAACGAACAGACGAGGAUCUUGCUCCUCUGGCGUUAGCAGCGGACGGGUGAGUAACACGGGGAUGACAUAACUAUAAGAAAGGGAUAACUACGGCAAACCGGAGCUAAUACCGGAAGAUAUAUUGAACCGCAAGGGUCAAUAGUGUAAGAAGGUUUUGCGGUCACUUAAAGAUGGAUCCGCGCCGCAUUAGCUAGGUGGUAAGGUAACGGCUUACCAAGGCAACGAUGCGUAGCCGACCCCAGAGGGUGGUCGGCCACACUGGCAGUGAGGCACGGUCGACACUCCGACGGGGAGCCGCAGUCGGGACUCUUCCGCGAUGGGCGAGAGGCUGACCGAGCAACGUCGGGUGAAUGAUGACGGUCCUCUGAUGGUAAAACUCUGUUAUUAGUGGAGAUCAAAUGUUUUUUCAACGGUGCACGUCAUGACGGUACCUGGAGAAAAAGCCACGGCUAACUACGUG